Molecule: non-coding RNA, 2434 nt
Organism: Pogona vitticeps (central bearded dragon)
Lineage: Eukaryota; Metazoa; Chordata; Lepidosauria; Squamata; Agamidae
Source: RefSeq, a predicted model, not a curated record
UUAGUCCACAGACACAACCUGAAUUCAGCCAAUGAAGCCAUUUUCAUCUCUGAGCCAAGAAGACAGAGAAAACGACACCCCCCGAACCUCUUAUUUGCGCUGCUUAAAACACCAGUUGAAUGCGCCGGUGAUAGGAUGAGCUACCAAAUGCUUGAGGACCGCAGCUGCGCGGUCUCGAUAGCUGAGACAGAUGGAAUGCAAACGGACGUCCUCCCGUAAGCUGGCUUGAUUUUUCAAAGAAGAGCAAAACGAUAGCUCAGCUUCAGCACCUUUGGCCAGUGGCCAGACAGAAAUCACACACACACCCCCAGCAACUAUGAGAAACCGGAGUAGUUGUGGGGAAAGAGGGAAAGUAAGUGGACUGGAGCGACAGUCAGAACUUCAAAAAGUUCAGACAACGCCCUCUGGAGCUGUGGAGCUGGUAGAGCAGGAUGAUGGAAGGUGUCAACCGAAAAGGUGAAGGAGAAUGAAGAGCCGUUGCCUGAAGAUUGCUUCUGCUUCCAUUGUGCCAAGAUCAGCGAUGAAAAUGCACCCCACGGGAAUUGUUCUGUGAGCCUCCGGGCUGUGACUCCAUCUCACAGGCUACAGUGACUCAUUCAAGAGCAGCUGCGAGCUAAGCACUUCCCGAACGGCGUGCGGAGCAGAGACGAAAGUGGAGGGAGGCAGCUCGGGGGAUCCCAGCAUGCAGCUGGGCUGGGGAGAUGCUGGCCUGCCGAAGCUUUGGCAGCUCCUGUGUGGAGGCACGGCUUGCUGAAGGGAGCCUUUUCCCACCAGUGGCUCAAGAGACGGCUCCAUGAAUGAUCACCAUCUUCACUUAUGUGGGGAAGAAGCCAAUGGUUGGAAGGUGCAUUUCACAGAAAACCAAGCUCCACAAGAAAACCAAGGAGUGGCAGCAUGCACGACAGUGGUUUCAGCACCGGAGGUAGCGAAGAAGUGCAGGAAAGAAGGCCACGGAGACCAAGCAGCAGGAAAAUGACAUUAGGGGGACCACCAUGACCUGAACUUCCAAAACUGAAGCAUUUCAGAGUGACAGCUACUACAGGGGAAUGGAGGCUUCUGUGGGUCAUGCUGACCAUUUUGGCAGGAAAAGGAAAUGGACUGGAAUGGGGGGGGAUGCUGUUGAAAAUUCGGGGAGGGGGCCAUGUUAAAAAUCACUUUCCUGUUCAGUUUACCCAAAGGGUCCCUCAAAACUGCCUUGAGAACCCCAUGAGGUUUGUCCAGUUGACGUUGGAGGUUUGUGAACCCUUAAAUAUCCAGAAGAACAUCUUGGGAUUCAAGAUGUUUGCCUGAACAACAGAGACGAAGCCCAUAGUCUGAGGGCAACGGAUAAGCUUGUGUGAGGAACGGCGCACACCCCAUUUCUCCACCUUGGCCACCACACCAGAAAGAAUGAAUUUAUUUUGGCUGAACUGAUGCUUUCGUUGUGUUUCUCAAACUAACUAGGGGACAUAAAUGUACACCAUUUUAGGCAUUUCUCAGAACUUUUUUGUUCUGCGUUGAUGCUCAAAGAGGUUUCCCUUCGUAGUCCACCUGUCAAACAGGUUGGGUUGGAGGUGGUUUGGGGAUUUUCUUUGGUUCUUCCAGAACUGUUUGGCCUACAGCUCCGCUGUAGGUAUGAUGAUAUGUAACUGAGGGUAUCAACGGGCCAGAUGGUAUCCUUUCCUCAUCCAAUGCUAGUAUAGGCCAUCAUUUUCCCAACUCAAAGGCAAGACAAGAAGAAGGCUUCAGCCAUCAAAAGAAGCUGCUUCAGGGACUGAGCCACAAUGGAUACUAUUUAAAUGCUUUGGAGAAAAUGGUGGACUCACUCAGAGCCCUCCGUGGCAUUUUCCACCCAAGGCCAUUCUGUCUGUACCAAUUGCAAACAUUUGUUGCAAAGAUGUGACUUUGUACUUGUUCCGAAAUCUGGCCAACUGGAUUGCUGGAUGUUGAUUUACGCCCAUUGCUUCUAACCAAUGGGAGUUCUAUCUGUAGCACUCUCAUGUAUGUAUCAUCAGUUCUCACUGGUGGAGUGUUACUCUCCCAAGGAGAACCCCAUGAAAAGUUUUCAUGUGACAUAUCAAUAAAACAAUGUCAUCUAUUUUUUAAUAUUUCAAUAACUGGACUGCUGAGCAUAUUUUUAACGGCCGAGCCUAUUUUUAACUGUUGUUGGGUUUCCUCUGUUCUUUGCAUGCUCUAACGAAGAGGGGUGGGCUCUUGAUGUCUCAGCUUCGGAGCUCAAGGCUUCUUAUACAUGGAACCCAUUUUUAUUGUACAGGGGUGUAUUGUUGUCUUGUCCUCACACUAGCGGUGAAUCACAAGAGGCUGUGUCAGCCAGUGUGGUUGUUAGAAUAACAACAUUCUUCUGUUGCUAAGCAAUUGUAGCAAAGAUUGUUCCUUGCAAGAAAAGAAUACCUCCUCUUGCUUUUGUAGAUUUCUACAAUAAAAUAUUAUACUA